This 77-nucleotide transfer RNA is filed under the name Alphaproteobacteria bacterium. RNAcentral describes it as "tRNA-Met". It matches the Rfam family "tRNA". From Rfam's summary of the family: Transfer RNA (tRNA) molecules are approximately 80 nucleotides in length. Their secondary structure includes four short double-helical elements and three loops (D, anti-codon, and T loops). Further hydrogen bonds mediate the characteristic L-shaped molecular structure. tRNAs have two regions of fundamental functional importance: the anti-codon, which is responsible for specific mRNA codon recognition, and the 3' end, to which the tRNAs corresponding amino acid is attached (by aminoacyl-tRNA synthetases). tRNAs cope with the degeneracy of the genetic code in two manners: having more than one tRNA (with a specific anti-codon) for a particular amino acid; and 'wobble' base-pairing, i.e. permitting non-standard base-pairing at the 3rd anti-codon position. Lineage: Bacteria; Pseudomonadati; Pseudomonadota; Alphaproteobacteria. The record is from RNAcentral.
GGGCCCGUAGCUCAGUUGGUUAGAGCGCGCCGCUCAUAACGGUGUGGUCGCAGGUUCGAGCCCUGCCGGGCCUACCA